Molecule: non-coding RNA, 73 nt
Organism: Spirochaetes bacterium GWB1_48_6
Lineage: Bacteria; Pseudomonadati; Spirochaetota
Source: Rfam
GCCAGUGUAGCUCAAUCGGCAGAGCAAUCCCUUCGUAAGGGAGAGGUUGUCGGUUCAACUCCGGCCACUGGCU